This 120-nucleotide ribosomal RNA is filed under the name Microcebus murinus (gray mouse lemur). The record is from RNAcentral. Lineage: Eukaryota; Metazoa; Chordata; Mammalia; Primates; Cheirogaleidae.
GCCUACGGCCAUACCACCCUGAACGCGCCCGAUCUUGUCUGAUCUCAGAAGCUAAGCAGGGUGGGGCCUGGUUAGUACUUGGAUGGGAGAUCCUCCUUCCUUUCUGCACUGCCAUCGUCU